GGGACUGAGACACGGCCCAGACUCCUACGGGAGGCAGCAGUGGGAAUAUUGCACAAUGGGCGAAAGCCUGAUGCAGCAACGCCGCGUGAGGGAUGACGGCCUUCGGGUUGUAAACCUCUUUUAGCAGGGAAGAAGCGAAAGUGACGGUACCUGCAGAAAAAGCGCCGGCUAACUACGUGCCAGCAGCCGCGGUAAUACGUAGGGCGCAAGCGUUAUCCGGAAUUAUUGGGCGUAAAGAGCUCGUAGGCGGUUUGUCGCGUCUGCUGUGAAAUCCCGAGGCUCAACCUCGGGCCUGCAGUGGGUACGGGCAGACUAGAGUGCGGUAGGGGAGAUUGGAAUUCCUGGUGUAGCGGUGGAAUGCGCAGAUAUCAGGAGGAACACCGAUGGCGAAGGCAGAUCUCUGGGCCGUAACUGACGCUGAGGAGCGAAAGGGUGGGGAGCAAACAGGCUUAGAUACCCUGGUAGUCCACCCCGUAAACGUUGGGAACUAGUUGUGGGGUCCAUUCCACGGAUUCCGUGACGCAGCUAACGCAUUAAGUUCCCCGCCUGGGGAGUACGGCCGCAAGGCUAAAACUCAAAGGAAUUGACGGGGACCCGCACAAGCGGCGGAGCAUGCGGAUUAAUUCGAUGCAACGCGAAGAACCUUACCAAGGCUUGACAUAUACGAGAACGGGCCAGAAAUGGUCAACUCUUUGGACACUCGUAAACAGGUGGUGCAUGGUUGUCGUCAGCUCGUGUCGUGAGAUGUUGGGUUAAGUCCCGCAACGAGCGCAACCCUCGUUCUAUGUUGCCAGCACGUAAUGGUGGGAACUCAUGGGAUACUGCCGGGGUCAACUCGGAGGAAGGUGGGGAUGACGUCAAAUCAUCAUGCCCCUUAUGUCUUGGGCUUCACGCAUGCUACAAUGGCCGGUACAAAGGGCUGCAAUACCGUGAGGUGGAGCGAAUCCCAAAAAGCCGGUCCCAGUUCGGAUUGAGGUCUGCAACUCGACCUCAUGAAGUCGGAGUCGCUAGUAAUCGCAGAUCAGCAACGCUGCGGUGAAUACGUUCCCGGGUCUUGUACACACCGCCCGUCAAGUCAUGAAAGUCGGUAACACCUGAAGCCGGUGGCCUAACCCUUGUGGAGGGAGCCGUCGAAG
This 1136-nucleotide ribosomal RNA is filed under the name Microbacterium paraoxydans. RNAcentral's name for it is "bacterial SSU rRNA". It matches the Rfam family "Bacterial small subunit ribosomal RNA", at positions 315 to 1461 of the family's 1533-position model. The record is from RNAcentral. Lineage: Bacteria; Bacillati; Actinomycetota; Actinomycetes; Micrococcales; Microbacteriaceae.